This 200-nucleotide unclassified non-coding RNA is filed under the name Holtermanniales sp. RNAcentral's name for it is "partial contains internal transcribed spacer 2 and large subunit ribosomal RNA". Lineage: Eukaryota; Fungi; Basidiomycota; Tremellomycetes; Holtermanniales. RNAcentral also lists the same sequence under 1 other name. The record is from RNAcentral.
GCUGCUGCAAAGUGGCUCGCCUUAAAAUCAUUAGCUGGACUUGUCUAUGACUUGGUUCGACUCGAUGUAAUAAGUAUUCAUCGGGGACAGGGUAAAACCUGGCCAAGGCUUGAUGCCGUCUGCUUCUAAUCAUGUUCUCACUAUGAGACGCUACUUUACUGUGUGGCCUCAAAUCAGGUAGGAUUACCCGCUGAACUUAA